RNAcentral lists this long non-coding RNA (1763 nucleotides) under Taeniopygia guttata (zebra finch). RNAcentral's name for it is "lncRNA (ENSTGUG00000024951.1)". Lineage: Eukaryota; Metazoa; Chordata; Aves; Passeriformes; Estrildidae. The record is from RNAcentral.
CUCUCUCACUUGGGACUCCUUGGAGGUUACAUGAACAAACCUUGGAACUGACCCUGGAGGGAGAGCGCCUCUUUCUUCGCUUGUGGGACUAGCUGGUCUUUGGACCCACGUGGGGCUUCUCCAGGCCCUCCGGGAUUCAAGGCGAAACCCUUCCCUCUGCCCACCUCACCCCAACUGCCCAGCUGGCCGGGCUCCACUGGGAAUCAGACCCGUGGAUUUGAGGGGGAGACGCCAGCAGGCUUGGCGCCCAAUCGUGGGGCCUGAAAAAGGCUUUUCUGGCCCGCGAGUGAAGAUUCCAGAGGUCUGAGGGACCGUGGACUUAAUCUCUGGCCUUCAAGUCGCCUUCGGAGAAGAGCAAGCUCUGUUCAAGGAGCUGCUCUCCGGAGGACAAAUCCGGUAGCUCCUAUGUGCCCAGGAGUCGGAUUUUCCCACUAGCUCCACUUCACCGAGGUUUUUUUUUCCUGCUCCUGUCUUUCCUUGGACGACUUAAAAGGGUUAUCUGCUCAGCCUUGGGUCUCCUAUAACCACUAUUCAAGAGUGACUGCGAUGGAUUUACAUGUGAUGUCAACAGAAAAUUCACCAUAUGUCAGCUGACCAAGAAAAAUUCAAUUUAAUUUUCUGUCUUUCAUAUUUUUCAUUGUUCAGCUAGAAUGAGUAGAAUAGAUAUAGUAAAAUUAUAAAAUAGUGCUGAAUUUUUAAAGAUUUGUUGCAAACUGAUGUCUUUUUCCAUUUGCAAAUUUGGAUAAUUUAAUAUGCAAAUUCCAUGCCAAUAUCAAAUAACUAAAUUAUCUCUUUCAAGAAAUUUAAUCCUUUUUUCACCAUCCACUAUCCAGAAGUGAAAAUCUUUCACAUAGACUCAUAUGAGAUAGUCAAUUAUUACAACUAGAUUGAAUUUCUUUAGCUAAGCUUACAUCCAGGUUUCUGUAGGUCCAAUAGCCUGGGUCUGUCUCCCAAGCCCUCCUCCAAAAUGACACUGGCAGGUGCCAUAGCUUAUGGAAGGUGCCUCUUUUUUUGAAAUAUAAUCUGGGCCAGCAUUUAUGUGGAGAGUGAUUUCUAUAUCAAAGUAUAGAAGUCAAUUGAAUAUUUUGCUUUCUCUAUUGCAAUAGAACAGAAACUCUUUUAAGUUAAAUGUAUCUAUCAUUAAGUCUUUAUUAAGAGUCAAAUUAAUAAAUUUAGAGUUCAGCUAAAAGCUAAGAAAAUCUCUUACUUUUUCCAUUUAUGCUUCUGUUCAGGAAAUAUCACACUCACUUUCAUAACCCCUUCACAUUCAAUUUCCAUAGAAAUUACAAGGCAAUAAAAGAAGAAGUUGUGAUAUCUUUCUACUAUAGUAUCCAUAGGCAGUUGCUUAAAAUAAAUAAUUAUUUUAUUUUACCUGUGGUUCCUGGUGCUUCCUUUUUUUCAUAAAGCAGCACAGAAGAGGUCUUCACAGUUUCAGAAGAAAGGCAGAAAGCUUUUGUGAAAAUGAGAUGGACUUUUUUUCCUAUGAGUCUGUUUGUUGAGUGAAACUGCUGGAAUGCUAGCACAUUAUUAAAAGGCAGCAAGAGAAGCAUACUAGAUAAUUGUGGCAGUAGGACUUGUUGAAGUUCAAGAACACCAGGGAAAAAAUGAAUAUUGUUCCUGAUGUGUUUGGUUGCAAUUGUACAGAUUUAGCAGAAAUGUGUCAAUUCAAUUAAUCAAGUUAAAAUACGUAAAUUCAAGGGAGUAAAACAACACCAAAACUUUGGGCACUAUGUAAAUGAGCGAUAAAAUUCAGAUAUAGAAAG